RNAcentral lists this ribosomal RNA (168 nucleotides) under Triticum aestivum (bread wheat). RNAcentral describes it as "partial small subunit ribosomal RNA". Lineage: Eukaryota; Viridiplantae; Streptophyta; Magnoliopsida; Poales; Poaceae. The record is from RNAcentral.
UACCUCUGGAACGGUAUCGGUGCACGUCCUGGCCAUGUUUCGAUCUUCUCGAAGUACUUGACGGGGACAACGCCGUCGAAGCCCUCCGUCAGUAUCACCUUGUUGUCUGAGAUGUAUAGCUUCAUCCCGUCUGAGAAACAAAUUCAGAAAUCAAAUGUUAGCCUCUAG